GACGAACGCUGGCGGCGUGCUUAACACAUGCCAGUCGAACGGUGAAGCGCCUUCCUUUUUAGUGGGUGUGGAUGAGUGGCGAACGGGUGAGUAACACGUGAGUAACCUGCCCCCUUCUUCUGGAUAACCGCAUGAAAGUGUGGCUAAUACGGGAUAUUCUGGGUCUGUCGCAUGAUGGGUCUGGGAAAGAUAUUGUUUCGGUGGGGGAUGGGCUCGCGGCCUAUCAGCUUGUUGGUGGGGUGAUGGCCUACCAAGGCGGUGACGGGUAGCCGGCCUGAGAGGGUGGACGGUCACACUGGGACUGAGACACGGCCCAGACUCCUACGGGAGGCAGCAGUGGGGAAUAUUGCACAAUGGGCGCAAGCCUGAUGCAGCGACGCCGCGUGAGGGAUGGAGGCCUUCGGGUUGUGAACCUCUUUCGCCAGUGAAGCAGGCCUGCCUCGUUUGUGGGUGGGUUGACGGUAGCUGGAUAAGAAGCGCCGGCUAACUACGUG
This 494-nucleotide ribosomal RNA is filed under the name uncultured bacterium. Its description in RNAcentral is "partial 16S ribosomal RNA". It matches the Rfam family "Bacterial small subunit ribosomal RNA", at positions 28 to 507 of the family's 1533-position model. The record is from RNAcentral.